AAAGUCAGUGUGGGCGGGAUGGAGCAGAUCCACAGGCUCCCAGGGCCACACAGGUUCCUAUGGGGCCCGGCUCACCCCUCAUCCCCUGUACUGCGCUGGUCCUGGGCUGUCCCCUCACUGCACUGUGAGCUCCCGUAAGGGUUAGCGACAGGUUUUCCUCAUCCUGGCAGACCCAGACCUCGAAGGGAAUUAACUCUCUCUGUGACCCGUGGCAUACAAGCCUGGCUAACUGCUGAAAGGGGCCCAAUCCUCUUACCAUUCUCUCCUUAUCACUUUAUUUUCUCACCUAAAAGCCAUUUUCAGACACUAAAAGGAAGACUCCCAUAUUGGAGGUGCCAUUGAUUCUGAGACCUGUCCUGAUUUCAGAAAUGUCACACGUGGAAAACACGGGGCUCAGAAUCAAAGAAAUCCGGUCUCCCUCCCCGGGCCCAUUCUGCAGCCCACACUCUGAGGCAGGCGGAGAGGCAGGGCCCAGGCAGCACAAACUCAGUGCCAGGGACAGUCGACUGCCUCUCUUUGUUUUGGGUACAAAGGGCAGGGGCCGCAAGGGGAAGCAAAAUGAAACUUCCUGGAGAUGACGUUCGUGACUGCCUGAGUGAAGAGAACGGGGAGGAUACCAGCUGCCAUAAUGUGGAUUGGACAGAGAGGGUGGGAACUUAGAGAAAGAAGGAAACAGGUUACAGGGCCAGACAGCAGAGAUGGUCAGGACAGUGACAUUUGGGGUGAGAUGGCGGCUGGCUGGGUGAGAAGCCCUAGUGGGGACAGCUUCCCUGGCAGGCUUGGAUCCACAGCUGGGGCCCCACAGUAGUGGGAGGAGCAGGACACGGUGACUGUUCAACCCAGGGGGAAAAUACAGUGCCACCAGCCCUUGUUCAGAUCAGCUGCCUACACCCCAAUUUCUCCACCUUGGAAGAACCGGAGUGCAGGGAGCUGGGUUCUGGAACCAUCACUCAGGGAGACUGGGAAGAAGGAAAUGAACCAAAUAUAUUCUACUGAAAUACAAGGCUAGUACUGCCACCAGUAGUCUCUGCAUAUGUCUAUGUCCCCACUUAAUUCACAAAUUUACAGCAGGAACAAGGUCAGGAGGUGAACGUGCAUGUCAGGAGAUGUCCUUGACAAGCCACCUUGAAAACUGCAGGCUCGCUGUGUGAACAGACUUGGGGGUGGGACGGGAGGAGACAGAGAGAGGUGAGGAGCGGUGGGGAAGAACUGCCUCCCGCCCACCACUCUGGGCCUUGGCUUUACCUUGCUCCAUCUUAGUGACCCUGAGAGAUCAAAGGUCACAAAGAUAAAGGCACCUUGGGUACUCCUGAGGUCAGCAAGUCCUCCUAACGGUUCCCCUAAUGCAGAAGUCCCCAAACCCCAGGCCACGGACCAGUACCUGUCUGUGGCCUGUUAGGAACCAGGCCAAAUAGCAGGAGGUGAGCAGUGGGCAAGUGAGUGAAGCUUCAUCUGUAUUUACAGCUGCUCCCCAUCACUGGCAUUACAGCCUGAGCUCCACCUCCUGUCAGAUCCGCGGCGGCAUUAGAUUCUCACAGGAUCCUGAACCCUACCUUACGUGAACUGUGCAUGCGAGGGAUCUAGGCUGUGUGCUCCUUAUGAGAAUCUAAUGCCUGAUGAUCUGUCACUAUCUCCCAUCACCCCCAGAUGGGACCGUCUAGUUGCGGAAAACAAGUUCAUGGCUCCCACUGAUUCUACAUUAUGGUGAGAUGUAUAAUUAUUUCAUUAUAUAUUAUAAUGUAAUAAUAAUAGAAAUAAAGUGCACAGGCCGGGUGCGGUGGCUCAUGCCUGUAAUCCCAGCACUUUGGGAGGCCGAGGUGGUGGAUCACCUGAGGUCGGGAGUUCGAGACCAGCUUGACCAACAUGGAGAAACCCCAUCUCUACUAAAAAUACAAAAUUAGCCAGGCGUGGUGGCACAUGCCCGUAAUCCCAGCUACUUGGGAGGGUGGGGAGUACUGGUUUCCCUUGCCAUGUCUUUAGCUAGCAGCACAAAUCCAGGAAACCUCAUCUACCUGGCCAAGAAAACCAGGUUUGAUGCAGGAGCAGGACAGUUUGAUGUGUGUUGGGAGAAUGAGUAUAUAGGAAAAUAAUUUCUCGACUUCCUUCUCAAACACCUCCAAUGUGACAGCAAUAAGAAUAAAGUCAAGGCCGGGCGCGGUGGCUCACGCCUGUAAUCCCAGCACUUUGGAAGGCCGAGGCGGGUGGAUCACGAGGUCAGGAGAUCGAGACCA
Molecule: long non-coding RNA, 2231 nt
Filed under: Homo sapiens (human)
Lineage: Eukaryota; Metazoa; Chordata; Mammalia; Primates; Hominidae
Description: HSALNT0184878
Source: RNAcentral